This 402-nucleotide ribosomal RNA is filed under the name Triticum aestivum (bread wheat). RNAcentral's name for it is "partial small subunit ribosomal RNA". The record is from RNAcentral. Lineage: Eukaryota; Viridiplantae; Streptophyta; Magnoliopsida; Poales; Poaceae.
GAAGGGAAGAAGAAACCACAUUGGAUCUCUUGGGAAUCAAUGAUAAAACCAAAAGGUAUGGGUGGCCUUGGCUUCAAAGAUUUUAAACUUUUUAACUUGGCAAUGUUAACUAAACCAGCAUGGCGCAUAUUACAACAUCCAGAGUCUCUCAGUGCACGUCUGCUAAAGAUCAUUUAUUUUUUCAAUUUCUCUAUUCUUGACGUGACACUUGGUAGUCAUCUGAGCCACGUAUCAAGGGCUAUCAUUGAAGGAAGGGACACAUUGAAGCAAGGAUUAAUAAUACGCAUAGGUAACGGGGAGACCACAAGAAUAUAUGAAGAUAAUUGGUUUCCAAGGGAUGAAAUGUUGCGACCUUAUGGUUGUCUAGUACCCAACCCAUCUCACUUCUGCAACAUGGAAUAA